UUUCCGUAGGUGAACCUGCGGAAGGAUCAUUGCGAAAAAGUAGAGGAGAAUGUUGGAAUGAGGGGUGAGAUAUCACGUGACAACAAUUACCAAAUUCAUACAUAACUAGCCACCUUGGAUCUCUGGGCUCUU
RNAcentral lists this unclassified non-coding RNA (132 nucleotides) under soil metagenome. RNAcentral describes it as "partial contains small subunit ribosomal RNA and internal transcribed spacer 1". The record is from RNAcentral.